Molecule: ribosomal RNA, 502 nt
Filed under: uncultured bacterium
Lineage: Bacteria
Description: partial 16S ribosomal RNA
Rfam family: Bacterial small subunit ribosomal RNA
Source: RNAcentral
AUUGAACGCUGGCGGCAGGCUUAACACAUGCAAGUCGAGCGGUAACAGGAGAAGCUUGCUUCUCGCUGACGAGCGGCGGACGGGUGAGUAAUACUUAGGAAUCUACCUAGUAGUGGGGGAUAGCUCGGGGAAACUCGAAUUAAUACCGCAUACGACCUACGGGAGAAAGGGGGCAGGUUACUGCUCUCGCUAUUAGAUGAGCCUAAGUCGGAUUAGCUAGUUGGUGGGGUAAAGGCCUACCAAGGCGACGAUCUGUAGCUGGUCUGAGGGGAUGAUCAGCCACACCGGGACUGAGACACGGCCCGGACUCCUACGGGAGGCAGCAGUGGGGAAUAUUGGACAAUGGGGGCAACCCUGAUCCAGCCAUGCCGCGUGUGUGAAGAAGGCCUUUUGGUUGUAAAGCACUUUAAGCAGUGAAGAAGACUCUAUGGUUAAUACCCAUAGACGAUGACAUUAGCUGCAGAAUAAGCACCGGCUAACUCUGUGCCAGCCGCCGCCGUAA